Molecule: ribosomal RNA, 252 nt
Filed under: uncultured Pelotomaculum sp.
Lineage: Bacteria; Bacillati; Bacillota; Clostridia; Eubacteriales; Desulfotomaculaceae
Description: partial 16S ribosomal RNA
Rfam family: Bacterial small subunit ribosomal RNA
Source: RNAcentral
GUGAGCACUCUAGACGAACUGCCGUUGACAAAACGGAGGAAGGUGGGAUGACGUCAAAUCAUCAUGCCCCUUAUGUUCUGGGCUACACACGUGCUACAAUGGCCGGUACAGACGGAGGCGAAAGCCGCGAGGCGGAGCAAAUCCGAAAAAGCCGGUCUCAGUUCGGAUUGCAGGCUGCAAUUCGCCUGCAUGAAGUCGGAAUCGCUAGUAAUCGCAGGUCAGCAUACUGCGGUGAAUACGUUCCCGGGCCCU